ACUGGAACCCGGGCCGAGGGCUGAGCGCAGCAGGCGCAAGACUGGUCUCUCACCGGCCUCCGCGGGAGGCGCGGCCAGAGCCCCGGCCUGGCCGGAGGAUGUUCAGUGCCUCGGCCUCGCAGGGGGCCCAGGGGGCCGCCAGGGCCGCGCUCGGGGGCUACUCCCAAGCCUACGGUACCGUCUGCCAGUCGGCACUGGGCUGCCUGCCCUUGCUCCCGGUACCCCGCCCCUGAGCCGCCCUGCCCGCCUUCAGCCCCGGCCCCGCCCUCCCCCCCUGGAAUACUCCCGCCCCUCCUCCAGCCCGGAGCCCCGGAAACCAGCGCUUUCCACCCACCUUUUCCCCAAACCCCCUUCACCUGGCCACAUCUGGGUUCCGGAGCCUGUCUGGGCCUCCCUGGGGGAGUAGGUGACGCUCACUCCCCAGCGUCAAUCACUUCCUCCAAUAAAGUCUUGUCUGUCCCCA
Non-coding RNA from Vicugna pacos (alpaca), 463 nucleotides. The record is from RefSeq and is a predicted model, not a curated record. Lineage: Eukaryota; Metazoa; Chordata; Mammalia; Artiodactyla; Camelidae.